RNAcentral lists this ribosomal RNA (255 nucleotides) under uncultured bacterium. Its description in RNAcentral is "partial 16S ribosomal RNA". It matches the Rfam family "Bacterial small subunit ribosomal RNA", at positions 107 to 354 of the family's 1533-position model. The record is from RNAcentral.
UGAGUAACACGUGAGUGACCUGCCUUUUAGACUGGAACAACUUACCGAAAGGUGAGCUAAUGCCGGAUGAGUUAUAUAAGUGCAUGUUUAUAUAGGAAAAGUUGGGGAGACCUGACGCUGAAAGAUGGACUCGCGUCCCAUUAGCUAGUUGGUAGGGUAAUGGCCUACCAAGGCGACGAUGGGUAGCCGGCCUGAGAGGGUGGCCGGCCCACACUGGGACUGAGACACGGCCCAGACUCCUACGGAAGGCAGCAG